CUGAGAGAAAACCAGCUCUUACCAGUUAUUUGACAGAAAGCGAUCCCGUCAGCGGAGGGCGGUCCCCUUCCUGGUGCCACGUGGGAGGGGAGCAUUGUGUUCCUGUGGGGCCGGCCACCCAGCUGCUCGCAGAGUUUGGUGGCGUCGCCACAGCGCCGUGCGGCUCUCGCUGGCGUUCUGUCCUGGACUGGCGCGUGCCUGUUUCCCCAACCCCAGCCAUCCCGAAGAGGGAAGUGGUCCCGCUCUGAAGGCCAUGCCCUUAAGUGGCAGGACUGUGUUCAGCCACGGAGGUGCCAUCGAGUCAGCAGGGAGGUUCCCGGGGACCACUCCGAAGGGGGUGUGGUCCUUUGGGUGCAGAAGCUCCGGCUUAUUCAAGACAGCAUUAUGUUGACUUCGGUCAGGCUUUACUGUGCCAGGGGCGAGACCCCCAAGCUGGCUCAGCAGCUCUGACAGCCUCUCUCCUCAUAGGUGCCCACCGUGUGCGGGAGGGUUGAACUCAGUGUGCUGGCUGGCAGGGCUCGACGUGCGCGUGUGUACAAGUCAGCUGAGGCUCGUGGUGGCACCCUGCCCUCUGACAAACCAGCGGGUUCCUCUUCUGGCCGAGAGAAUUCGCUUGAGUUCCAAGAAAAGCUCCAAGUGCAAGACUCACCAGCUGUUCUGAUUAUGCCUUGUUGGCUUCAUCGUCCGUGCUCUCUCUGUGUAGACGGCUCUCUGUCUAUAGACAGCUCCUCUGACCCACUG
Molecule: long non-coding RNA, 741 nt
Filed under: Equus caballus (horse)
Lineage: Eukaryota; Metazoa; Chordata; Mammalia; Perissodactyla; Equidae
Description: lncRNA (ENSECAG00000047867.1)
Source: RNAcentral